AGGUUGCUAGCCAGUGGACAAAAUGUAUCAAAAUGUUUCAGUGUAAAAAAAAUAUAAGUACACAGUACCAUGCAUCUUUUUGAGAUCAAUAAUAUGAAGAGGAGAAUAAUAUAUGUUUUUUGUUAAGACCUGCAGUGGUUAUGGUACUGCAGUCUUCUAUUCCUCCCCCAAUAGCUGUGCAUAAGUGAUUAUAACUGCAGUUAGGAGGUAGAGGAAUAGUGUAGAUGAAUGCAGCUUCCAAGAUGAUUCACCCCAGCAAGUAGAAUAUUCCCCAAACAUGAGCCUAGACUUCAUGAAGGGUGUAACAGGAAUAACUUUUAUU
Non-coding RNA from Pelobates cultripes (western spadefoot toad), 322 nucleotides. Lineage: Eukaryota; Metazoa; Chordata; Amphibia; Anura; Pelobatidae. The record is from the annotation of a GenBank genome assembly.